Molecule: ribosomal RNA, 388 nt
Filed under: uncultured eukaryote
Lineage: Eukaryota
Description: partial 18S ribosomal RNA
Rfam family: Eukaryotic small subunit ribosomal RNA
Source: RNAcentral
CAAUAGCGUAUAUUAAAGUUGUUGCAGUUAAAAAGCUCGUAGUUGGAUUUCUGAUCGAGACAUCAGGUCGGGUCCGAGAGGAUCAUGUACUUUGAUUUUGUUUUGAUCAUCCUUGGGGAGAGCAUUUCUGGCAUUCAGUUGUCGGGAUUGGGAUCCUCAUCGUUUACUGUGAAAAAAUUAGAGUGUUCAAAGCAGGCCUCGGCCUCUGAAUACAUUAGCAUGGAAUAAUAAGAUAGGACUUUGGUGGUCUAUUUUGUUGGUUUGCACGCCAAAGUAAUGAUUAAUAGGGAUAGUUGGGGGUAUUCGUAUUCAAUUGUCAGAGGUGAAAUUCUUGGAUUUAUGGAAGACGAACUACUGCGAAAGCAUUUACCAAGAAUGUUUUCAUUAA